Molecule: ribosomal RNA, 552 nt
Filed under: uncultured archaeon
Lineage: Archaea
Description: bacterial SSU rRNA
Rfam family: Archaeal small subunit ribosomal RNA
Source: RNAcentral
ACGGGGUGCAGCAGGCGCGAAACCUCUGCAAUAGGCGAAAGCUUGACAGGGUUACUCUGAGUGAUUUCCGUUAAGGAGAUCUUUUGGCACCUCUAAAAAUGGUGCAGAAUAAGGGGUGGGCAAGUCUGGUGUCAGCCGCCGCGGUAAUACCAGCAUCCCGAGUGGUCGGGACGUUUAUUGGGCCUAAAGCAUCCGUAGCCGGUUCUACAAGUCUUCCGUUAAAUCCACCUGCUUAACAGAUGGGCUGCGGAAGAUACUAUAGAGCUGGGAGGCGGGAGAGGCAAGCGGUACUCGAUGGGUAGGGGUAAAAUCCGUUGAUCCAUUGAAGACCACCAGUGGCGAAGGCGGCUUGCCAGAACGCGCUCGACGGUGAGGGAUGAAAGCUGGGGGAGCAAACCGGAUUAGAUACCCGGGUAGUCCCAGCUGUAAACGAUGCAGACUCGGUGAUGAGUUGGCUUAUUGCUAACUCAGUGCCGCAGGGAAGCCGUUAAGUUUGCCGCCUGGGGAGUACGGUCGCAGGACUGAAACUUAAAGGAAUUGGCGGGGGAGCAC